This 45-nucleotide ribosomal RNA is filed under the name Phytophthora infestans T30-4. RNAcentral's name for it is "28S ribosomal RNA". Lineage: Eukaryota; Oomycota; Peronosporomycetes; Peronosporales; Peronosporaceae. The record is from RNAcentral.
CUCUUUAGCUUGGCAUUUGAAUCGGCUUUGCUGUUGCGAAGUAGA